RNAcentral lists this transfer RNA (65 nucleotides) under Discocelis tigrina. RNAcentral's name for it is "tRNA-Leu". Lineage: Eukaryota; Metazoa; Platyhelminthes; Polycladida; Discocelidae. The record is from RNAcentral.
UUUAGGGUGGCAGAUAAUAUGCACUAGAUUUAAGCUCUAGGGAUGAGUAUAAUUACUCCUCUAAA